UAGGGAAUCUUCCACAAUGGACGAAAGUCUGAUGGAGCAACGCCGCGUGAGUGAAGAAGGGUUUCGGCUCGUAAACUACUGUUGUUAAAGAAGAACAUAUCUGAGAGUAACUGUUCAGGUAUUGACGGUAUUUAACCAGAAAGCCACGGCUAACUACGUGCCAG
RNAcentral lists this ribosomal RNA (164 nucleotides) under uncultured bacterium. RNAcentral's name for it is "partial 16S rRNA". It matches the Rfam family "Bacterial small subunit ribosomal RNA", at positions 355 to 511 of the family's 1533-position model. The record is from RNAcentral.